RNAcentral lists this long non-coding RNA (8531 nucleotides) under Marmota monax (woodchuck). Lineage: Eukaryota; Metazoa; Chordata; Mammalia; Rodentia; Sciuridae. The record is from RNAcentral.
AGACUCUUUAAUAAACUAGGGUCCAUUUCUUAGCCAGACUCAGUGCUAUGUGUCAUCACUUGACCCAGGAGUUUGAAGCUCAAUUUGGGGAUAUUUGUAAUGAUUCUAACUUAUUUAUAUCAUAGCAACCUUUGACCAACAUGACUUUAUAUGCAUCUUUUGACAAUUUUCUGAUUUCAUUGGGAUAAGUCCCUGGAAAAUAAUUUUGGAAAUAAAUGUUGUACCUACUUUUUAGGAUCUUGAUAUACACUUUGUGUCUUCUGAAAGGUAUCUAUGACCUGGGUAUGGUAGUGCAGGCCUGUAAUCUCAGUUACUCAGGACACUGAGGCUGGAGGAUCCCAAGUUUGAGGCAAACCUGGGCAAUUUAGCAAGAUCCUGUCUUGAAAUAAAAUUGUAAAAGGGGUGCAGGUGGAGUUCAGUGUAAAGCAUCUGCAUAUGCAUGCAUGAGGCUCUAGAUUAAAUUCACAGCACCAAAAAGGAAAGUCACUAAUGCCAAAGCACUAUGAUCUUCUGUUCCAAAUUCUAAAAAUAUUAACAGGCAUUUCUGGAAAAAAAUGUACAUAAAAUCUGCUCUUACAGCUAAUGCAUAUGUGGAAAGCUCUCAGAACCCAAUAAAAGAAAUAAAAAUUGUAAACAAUCUCAGGACUGUGCUCAAGGAAUAGCAUUGAAAACCCCCCUUUCUUCUCAAAAUAAAACCUGAUGAAUUAUUUUCUUCUGAAAUUCCAUAUUCUAGCCCACUGGCCACUUUGAAACGCUGCAAAAGCUAGAAGAUAGGUUUUCACAUACUGUCAUUUUUGCUUGAAAGGGAUGAAGCUUCGGGAGGUCUCACUUGGCUUGGUAUCUUCACAGAAAGUCCUAGGAGAGAAAAACAUGUUAAGAACUUUGUGAGAGUGGGUGGGAAAGUGGGUCAUUGUGAAAUUUCUGAUGAAAUGGAAAAGCCAGAGAGAAGGCUGAUCUAUGGAAUAUAUCUCAAUGGGUAGCAGGAAGAAUUUUGUGGGGAUUUCAAAUUCAGCCAAGAUGCAUGUGAGCUAAGAAAUGAAACAGGUUUAAGAUCUAUGCAUAUGGGCUUGGAGUAAAGAGCAUGCAAGAGGCUCUUACUGAUUCCCAAACACACAUAUAUGCAUGCAUACACACACACACACACUCACAUAUACACAAUCACACACUCACACAAACACACACACAUGAGAUUAAAAACUAUAUCAAUAAAAUAGGACAGAUUUUACAAACAAAAGCAUAAUUUGGCAUGAACAUACUUUACAUACAGAGUUACAAAAAAUUGUGCUGUGAAUGGAUAAUUAUGAAUGUAAUGCAUUCCACUAUUGUCAUGUAUGUAUGUAAGAAAUAAAUUUUAAAAAAGAAAUUGUAGAACUAAAAAAUACAAUCAAUAAUUUAGACUUAACAGAUAUGUAUAGAAUAUUUCAUCUAUCAAUGAGCAAAAAUACUUUCUUCUCAGCAGCACAUGGCUCCUUAUCUAAAAUAGACCAUAUCUUAGGCCACAAAGCAACUCAGUAAAUACAAAAAAAAAAAGAAAAGAAAGAAAGAAAACAGAGAUAAUACCACACAGUCUAUCAGACCAAAAUGGAAUGAUUUAGAAAUCAAUGAUACAAUAAAAAAUAGAAGCUUCUGUAAAAAAUGGAGACUAAGUAAUAUACAAUGGAAUGAUGAAUGGAUUGUAGAAGAAAUUAAGAAUGAAAUUAAAAAAAACUUACAGGUAAAUGAGAACACUGAUACAACAUAUCAAAAUCUCUAGGACACUAUGAAGGCAGUACUAAGAGGAAAGUUUAUUGCAUUGAGUACAUUCAUUAAAAGAAUAAAAAGCCAACAAAUAAAUGAUCUAACACUACAUCUCAAAGCCCUAGAAAAAGAAGAACAAAUCAACACCAAAAUCAGUAAAAGACGGGAAAUAAUUAAAAUCAGAGCUGAAAUUAAUGAAAUUGAAACAAAAGAUACAAUUUAAAAAUUGACCAAAAAAGUUGGUUCUUUGAAAAAAUAAGUGAUAGAUAAACUUAUUUUUUUAAAAAAAAUAUUUUUUAAAUUUGUUUAUAAUAAGAAAAUAAGAAAUAGAUAAAUCUCUGGCCAGGCUAAUGAAGAGACAAAGAGAGAAAACUCAAAUUACUAAAAUACAAGAUAAAGAAGAAAAUAUCACAAUGGACAUUAGAAAAUAUUCUGAAAAUUCAUACUCUAAUAAAAUAGAAAAUAUCAAAGAUAUCAACAAAUUUCUAGAGACAUACAAUCUACCCAAAAUGAAUGAGAAGAUCAUACAUGAUUUAAACAGAUCAAUUUCAAGUAAUGAAAUAGAAAACACCAUCAAAAGCCUACCAACCAAGAAAAGUUCAGUACCAGAUAGAGUUCUACAAGACUUUCAAGAAAAAUUAACACCAAUACUCCUCAAAUUAUUCCAUGAAUUAGAAAAGGAAGGAACCCUUCUAAACUCAUUCUAUGAGGUCAGUAUCACCAUGGUACCAAAACCAGACAAAGACACAUCAAAGAACGAAAACUUCAGACCAAUAUCCCUCAUGAUCAUAGAUGCAAAAAUUCUCAAUAAAAUUCUGGAAAAUCGCAUACAAAGACAUGUUUAAAAGAUAGUACACCAUGAUCAAAUGGGAUUUAUCCCAGGGAUGCAGGGUUGGUUCAACAUAUGGAAAUCAAUAAAUGUAAUUCAUCAGAUUAAUAGACUUAACAACAAGAAUGAUAUGAUCAUCUCAAUAGAUUCAUAAAAAAAAGCAUUUGACAAAAUACAGCACACCUUCAUGUUCAAAACUCUAGAAAAACUAGGGAUAGUAGGAACAUACUUCAACAUUGUAAAAGCUAUACAUGCUAAACCCAAAGCCAGCAUCAUUCUAAAUGAAGAAAAAUUGAAAGCAUUCCUGCUAAAGUCUGGAACAAGGCAAGGAUGUCCUCUUUCACCACUUCUACUCAACAUCAUCCUUGAAACCCUAGCAAGGCCACUAGAGAAAAGAAGAAAAAUAAAGAAAUACAAAUAGUUAAAGAAGAACUCAAAAUAUCACUAUUUGCUGAUGACAUGAUUCUAUGUCUAGAAGAUCUAAAAAGUUUCCAACAGAAAACUUCUAGAACUAAUAAAUGAAUUUAGCAAAGUAGCAGGACAUAAAAUCAACACCCAUAAAUCAAAUGUAUUCCUAUACAUCAGCAGUGAAUCCACUGAAAGAGAAAUUAGAAAAACUACUCCAUUCACAAUAGCCUCAAAUAAAAUAAAAUAGCUAGGAAUCAACCCAACAAAAGAGGUGAAAGACCUAAACAAUGAAAACUACAGAACACUAAUAAAAGGAAUUGGAAAAAACCUCAGAAGAUGGAAUGAUCUCCCAUGCUUCUGAAUAGGCAGAAUCAAUAUUAUCAAAAUGACCAUACUACCAAAAGCAUUAUACAUAUUUAAUGCAAUUCUAGUUAAAUUCCCAAUGACAUUCUUCAUUGAAAUUGAAAAAGGAGUCAUGAAAUUUAUUUGGAAAAAUUAGAGACCCAGAAUGGUGAAGGCAAUCCUUAGCAAGCAAAGUAAAGCAGGAGGUGUCACAAUACCAGAACUUAAGCUAUACUACAGAGCUAUAGUAACAAAAAUGGCAUGGUAUUGGCACCAAAAUAGACUUGUAGACCAAAGAUACAGAAUAGUAGACACAGAGACAAACCCACACAAAUAUGGUUAUCUCAUACUAGACAAAGGUGCCAAAAAAUUUACUGGAGAAAAGAUAGCCUAUUCAACAAAUGGUGCUGGCAAAACUGGAAAUACAUAUGUAGAAAAAUGAAAUUAAACCUCUAUCUCUCACCCUGCACAAAAAUCAACUCAAAGUGGAUCAAAGACUUAGGCACUAGAACAGAGACCCUGCAGCUAAUAAAAGAAAAAAUAGGCCCGAAUCUUCACCAUGUCAGCCUAGGAUCUGACUUCCUUAACAAGACUCGUAGAGUCCAAGAAGUAAAAUCAAGAAUCAAUAAAUAGGAUGAAUUCAAAUUAAAAAGAUUCUUCUCAGCAAAGGAAACAAUUAAUAACAUGAGAAGAGAGCCUACAGAUUGGGAGAAAAUCUUUAUCAUAUGCACCUGCGAUAAAGCACUAAUCUCUAAGAUAUAUAAAGAACUCAAAAAACUUAACACCAAAAAACAAAUAACCCAAUCAAUAAAUGGACUCAGGAACUGAAUGGACACUUCAAAGAAGAAAUACAAUUGAUCAACAAAUAUAUGAAAAGUGUUCAACAUCUAUAGCAAUUAGACAAAUGCAAAUCAAAACUACUAUAAGAUUUCAUCUCAUCAUUAUCCAAAGUACAUGUAUAAUGACACGAAUUGGUGUCAACAUACUUAAUAUACAACCAGAUAUAUAAAAAAAUGUGCUGUAUAUGUGUAAUAAGAAAUGUAAUGCAUUCUGCUUACAUUUAUUUUUUUAAAAAAAUUAAUAAAAAAAUAUUGCAUCUUACUCCUGUAAGAAUUGCAGUCAUCAAGAAUAGACUAUUAUUAAGAUAGUAGAAUGAAACAGACAUUAGGAUGUUUUAAAACUGUGUAUUAAGAUAUUAGAAUGUUUUAAAACUGUGUAUUCAGAUAAUAGAAUGAAACAGACAUUAUAAAUGUUGGUGUGGAUGUGGGGGAAAAGGUAAAUGUUGGUGAGGAUGUGGGGGAAAAGGAACACUCAUACGUUGCUGAUGGGACUGCAAAUUGGUGCAACCACUAUGAAAAGCAGUAUGGAGAUUUCUUAGAAAACUUGGAAUGGAACCACCAUUUAGCCUAGUUAUCCCACUCCUUGGUUUAUACCCAAAGGACUUAAAAUCAUCAUACUAUACUGAUGCAUCCACAUCAGUGUUUAUAGGAGCCCAAUUCAUAAUAGCUGGACUAUGGAACCAACCUAGGUGUCCCUCAAUAGAUGAAUGGAUAAAUAAAAUAUAGUAUAUAUACUCAAUGGAAUAUUACUCAGCUUUAAAGUAGAAUGAAAUUAUGGCAUUUGCCAGUAAAUGGUUGGAGUUGGAGAAUGUCAUGCUAAGCAAAAUAAUCCAAUCCCACAAAACUAAAGGCAGAAUGUUUGCUCUAAUUCACAAUAAAGCAGAGGACAUUAGGGAAGAAUAGCUUUACCUUAGAUUAGGUGGAGGGAAGUGAUGGGAGGGGAAGGAAAGAGAUAUGGGGAUAGGAAAGAUAGUAGAAUGAAACAGACAUUAUUCCUGUAUGUAUGUGACUACAUAACCGAUAUGAUCCUGUAACAUGUACACUCAGAAAAAUGAGACAUUAUAUCCCACCUAUAUAUAAUAUAUCAAAGUGCACAAAUGCAUUCUACUGCUAUGUAUAACUAAUUAAAACAAAUUUAAAUUUAAAAAAAAAUAAGAAAAGAACCUUGGGUGUGCGUACAGUCACAUAGAAAUGUUUGGAAGUAGAAAGAAAGCAGUAUUAUGAUGUUUUAAAACUGUGUAUUAAAAUAAAGCAUACAGGGGCUGCAAUUAUAGCUCAGUGGUAAAGUUCUUGUUUAGCACAAACAAGAUCCGGAAUUUACUCCUCAACACUAGGAAACAAUAAUAAUAAAUAAAAUGAAACUUAACAUACAUGUAGAAAUAUGCACAAAUUAGAGAAGUUAGCUUGUUGAAUUUUGGCAAACUUAAAAUCCCCGUAUAACCACACCAGAGGAAAAAGCAGAAUAUCACCCUGGACCACAGGUGAUUCGUGUGUGUGUGUGUGUGUGUGUGUGUGUGUGUGUGUGUGUGUCCGCGCACGCGCACAUGCAUGCAUGUAUCAUUAUUUCACUUCAAAUAUAUAAACAUUAUUUUUUUAAAGUCCAGAGUUUCUUUUUUUAAACCAGGGGUCAGCAAUCUAUGGCCUGAGGGCUAGGUGCCAUGUUUUUGUAAAUAGUGAUAUUGCAGCAUAGCCAUGCCAUUCAUUUUCAUAUUGGCUAUAGCUGUAAAUAUGACCUCAUGGUCAUGAAACCUAAUUUACUCUCUCACCCUUUAGAGGAAGAACUCUGCUGAUCCAUGACCUAAAUCCAUGACCUAGUUGCUCUAGAUCCUAGAGUACCUGUGAUAUUAAGUAACAGGUUUACUGGAAAUUAAACCAUUGAGAACAAGUGUGAUAGAAUUUUAGUUAUUAAAGUAAUAAAGUAAUACUUUGCUACUCCAGCGUUUAUUUAAUGGAUGUUAUCAAUGAAUUGAAAAAUUUCAUCAAUCACAUUUCGUUUGAGGCUCACUUCACCUAAACUUGCUAGAGACAUAAAAAACCAUUUACUCAAGAUAUAUGCCUCUGUCUUUUCACAUAUUUGUUCUAUGUUAAUGACAUAGGUCACUCACAACAAUGUGCCCUCAUAUCUGUAGGCCACAAGUAGAAAAUUAAAAAGUUCUCCUGAGUUUUCCUUCACAUAAAAUCCUACAACUAGCCCCUUAAUAAUGAAAUGGGGGUGGGGGGCUUGGGUUGUGGUUCAGUGGUAGAAUGCUUGUCUAGCAUGCGUGAGGCAUUGGGUUUCAUCUUUGGCACCAUAUAAAAAUAAAUAAAUGAAAUAAAGAUGUUGAUAGAAUUAUAGAGUCCAUCUACAGCUAAAAAAAUUUAAAAAGAGUGAAAUUGAGUCAAACCUAUGUCCAUCUACAUGCUAAGUACUCAUUCUACCAUUAUUAUUUUUAAAUAAAGAAAAGAAGGAGAUGGAGAGUUCUUCUGAAAUUAUCUAAGUAACUUCCUACACCCAUAUGCUAGGACUUCUUCAUAUAAAAACCCAGGGUAAAUAAAUAAUGUCAAUAUUUGCUAUGAUUUUUAUGUAGAAACCUCAUGACCAAGGUGAUGAGGCCUUAGGGAGACCAUUAGGUCAUGAAUGUGGGGCCCUCAUAAGUGGGAUUAUUGCCCUUUAAGAAAAAAAAAAACCCAGAGAUCUCCCUUGCCGACUCCACCAGGGGAGAACACAUCAAGAAGGUGACAUUUAGGAAGCAGGAAGUAAGUCUUCACCAGACAUUAAAUCAGACUGUGCCUUAAUUUUGGACUUUCUAGCCCCUAGAAGUGUGAGAAAUAAAUGUGUAUAAUUUGUACUCCAUUCUGUCUGUGGUAUCCUGCUAUAGCAGCGCCAGAAGACUAAGGCAAUAUCACAGAUAUUACUACAACUAUAUGAGAAUGAAAGCCUUAUAAAAUGUUAUCUUGCUCUCAAGAUUUAUAGACCAUUCUAAAUAUGCAAUGCUUUACUUUGAUUUUUGUUUAUUUUUUAAACACAGGAUCUCACUAUGUUCCCAGGUUGACUCAAACUCCUCAGCUCAAAUGAUCUUCCUGCCUCAGCAUCCUGAGAUUUUGGAAUUAUAGGUAUGUAUCAACAUGUCCAGCUAAUACAGUACUUGGAAAAGAAAAAAAUAUCUUUACCACAGAAUGGUAUUUAAUUAACACUAUAAUUCUAUUUGUUGAUAACUUUGCAUAAAAUCAACUCAUUUUCUUAAUUGAAAGUGUACUCUCUGUCAAGGAUUUGAACAGAGUCUCAGAGUAUGCCUAAAGUCUAUAGAGAAUGUAUUGAAAAUACUGUAUACAAGUAUUUUUUGCAAGGAUAGGUAUCAGAUUUUAAAUCAUUAUAAAUAAAUCUGGAAUGCUCAAAAGAUUACAUGAAACUGUAUCUGAAUUUUUCCAUCUACUCAUCCCUCACACUCUAAUUCCAACCAUCUAACCCUAAAUUUACCCUUUUCCCUGAUUUUCUCCAGAUAGAACACUAUGUACAUAGGAAAAUCAAAAUGUUAAUGAAGACUCUUCCCACAUCAUCUAUCUCAUUGCCCCUCUCAUUGGCUCUCUAUACCCUUCAUGUAGUUAUUUUUCUUCCUCACUGUUUCCCUUCCUUCUUUGACACAAAAUAUGAUAAUAAAGAAGAUAUGUUCCUUCUCAAAUAGGCACAGUGGUGAAGAAAAAUAUAUAAAAAAAUAAUUGCAGUAAAACAAUGUAAGUAUGUUGGUGCCAAUUCGGAUAAGUGCUAUGGAAUUAAAGAAGGAUAAUAAUUUUCUCUGGAGGAUGUCACCCUGGAAGUGGCAUUAGGAGAAUCUUGGAAGGUGAUAAGUUUAAUAAGCACCAAGGGGUGACAGAGAAAUGGGAGCAGGGUUAUGUGAGGGGAGAGACUCGUGGGCAAAGGCAGAGAAAUUAAGAGUGUGAUAUAUUUAGGGAAUGUUAAUAGUGGAUAUAAUUCCUAAAGGAAUAAACUUUUAUGUUAUGAGUUUUGUUUUUCAGUGAUAGGGGAUUGAACCCAGACCCUUGAGUGCUGCCACUGAGCACAUCUCCAGUUCCUAUAUUUUGUUUUAAAAUUUAUCUACUACAACCACUUGAUGAUCAUCCUUGAGGGGAAAAUGUGCUAAAAGGAAAAGGUAGAAAAAAAACUUUAAUUUUAACGAGAACAAUGAAGACAUAGAAUUGUUAGACUGGAGAACAAUUCCUUUUCCAGUAACAAAUAUUUUUUUAAACCUGAGGUGAACAAACAAAAUUCCCUAUAAUGGAAGAUGAAAUUAAAACCUUCCACGAUAAACAAAAGUUAAAAGAAUUUGCAGCUAGAAAACCAUCUCUUCAAAACAUCCUCAGCAAAUCAUUACAGGAAGAGGAAAUGGAAAAUAACAAUG